This 253-nucleotide ribosomal RNA is filed under the name uncultured bacterium. Its description in RNAcentral is "partial 16S ribosomal RNA". It matches the Rfam family "Bacterial small subunit ribosomal RNA", at positions 524 to 776 of the family's 1533-position model. The record is from RNAcentral.
UACGUAGGGGGCAAGCGUUGUCCGGAUUUAUUGGGCGUAAAGAGCGUGUAGGCGGCUUGGUAGGUCUGCUGUGAAAACUCGGGGCUCAACCCCGAGACGUCGGUGGAAACCACCUGGCUAGAGUCCGGAAGAGGAGAGUGGAAUUCCUGGUGUAGCGGUGAAAUGCGCAGAUAUCAGGAGGAACACCGAUGGCGAAGGCAGGUCUCUGGGCCACUACUGACGCUGAGAAGCGAAAGCAUGGGGAGCGAACAGG